Molecule: long non-coding RNA, 1460 nt
Filed under: Macaca mulatta (Rhesus monkey)
Lineage: Eukaryota; Metazoa; Chordata; Mammalia; Primates; Cercopithecidae
Description: lncRNA (ENSMMUG00000053000.1)
Source: RNAcentral
CCCCAACACAACAAUGCUGCCUUAAAUAAAAAAUGCCUGAAAAUAUGUGCCUCUCCACCCACAAUCCUGGCUGUGCAAGAAACACUUGACUUCCUCGACUCUUCUCUUUCAAGUCCUUCUUUCACCCUAGGUCACUUCUGUCCCCUGCCUCCAUUCUUAGAAAGCGCUGGUCCUCCUGUCUGUGCCCCAGCCGACGCUCCAUGCACGGCCUGUUGGGGUGUCCCUUCCCUCCUCCGCCCUGCCUGAAGCUCAAGUGUCACCUGUACAGCUGAACCCCAGGUCUGUUUCGGGGCACGGGGAAACAGUCUACAUCCCUCAGGACUUAGGAUGCUCAAAUCUGGUAGGUGUCUCAGGCCCUGAGAGUCCCAAGCAUCAUGGAGGCCUCACCGUUCAUGCAGCGAUCCCUGUCAGACGCCGCCUAGGGCACAGCAGACCCGCCACUGAUGCAGAAGAAAUACGAUGGGGCGGGCAAGUGCCUGCCAGUGCCCAGUGCAAGAACUGGGCUGCAGCUGCUUUUCUUGCAGAAAGACAGGAGGCAGUUUGAGGAGGAACCUGCCCCUGCAGGCAAGGGCCAAAGCACCCUCCUCCUUCAGAGCCCCUGCAGCACCGUGGCCCAAGCCCACAGAGGGGUGCUGGGAGAGCAGAAGAAGAUGGACUGGCCUGAGAGUGGGCAGCAUGCUCUGUGGAGGGCUCACCCUGGCAAGCUCACAGGGCCCCUGAUGUCAAUCAGUCCCAGGGGACAGGCCUGGGGGCUCAUCACAGACGCAAGCACCAGCCAGACACCAGCGCAUGAACUGACAGAGAGAAUGUUGCUGCUGGGGGCCUGUCCCACUCUCUGCAGCUGCUGCGUCCUCUCGCAGCAGGGGCAUUGCCACAGGAAGCCAGAUGACCACUCGGAAGUUCUGGGUGACACCAACUCAGUGCAAAGGGUAAUGGUUGGCCAAACUCCACGGCCCUUGUCCUGGAGCUACAUCCAGGUCCUGACGCUCCCUCUCAGGGUUUCUUCACACGCUUCCUUCAGCUCCAUUCCUCACAUUCACCUAGAUGGCAGGGUGUGACAAGGACCGUGUCUGCGGACUGAGCCUGCCACUCAUGGCGUGUCUGUCACAUCAGCUUUUUUGGGGGCAACCCAUUCCUUGAGGCCACCUCCCGGAGAGCCACUCACACGCGUGGAGGUGUGGGCAUGGCCUGCCCUGCCGGCCACGGGACAGAGGCCCACCUGGCAGUGCUGGCCACAUCUCCUCAGCCGCACUCGCAGAUGGCUGUCUUCCAAGUUCAGGGCGGGACGCAGGUCACUGGUCACCACCGCUCACCCAGCAGGCAGGCUGAGCCCAGUUAGGCUGCAGCACCAGUCGAUGAGGAGGAACACCUUUGAGAACAUCCUGUCAUGAACCCUCGCCCAAAUGGACUUCAAGCACUAGGGCAUUCGGCCUCACAGCAACAGGACGCCAGGGGUGGGG